AGUGAACGCUGGCGGUAGGCCUAACACAUGCAAGUCGAACGGCAGCACAGUAGGAGCUUGCUCUUACGGGUGGCGAGUGGCGGACGGGUGAGGAAUACAUCGGAAUCUACUUUUUCGUGGGGGAUAACGUAGGGAAACUUACGCUAAUACCGCAUACGACCUACGGGUGAAAGCAGGGGAUCUUCGGACCUUGCGCGAUUGAAUGAGCCGAUGUCGGAUUAGCUAGUUGGCGGGGUAAAGGCCCACCAAGGCGACGAUCCGUAGCUGGUCUGAGAGGAUGAUCAGCCACACUGGAACUGAGACACGGUCCAGACUCCUACGGGAGGCAGCAGUGGGGAAUAUUGGACAAUGGGCGCAAGCCUGAUCCAGCCAUACCGCGUGGGUGAAGAAGGGCUUCGGGUUGUAAAGCCCUUUUGUUGGGAAAGAAAAGCAGCAGGUUAAUACCCCGCUGUUCUGACGGUACCCAAAGAAUAAGCACCGGCUAACUUCGUG
Molecule: ribosomal RNA, 492 nt
Filed under: uncultured bacterium
Lineage: Bacteria
Description: partial 16S ribosomal RNA
Rfam family: Bacterial small subunit ribosomal RNA
Source: RNAcentral